GUUGCCCAGGGCCUUUCACCCUUGUACCCCAGGACCACUGCAUACAGACAGAUAGUGUGUCGUGUGGUGUAUACUGCAUCCUGUUCGCAGAGAUGAUCCUGGGGGGAGCACAGGGGUACCUGGAGUGCCUCCCCAUUGCCCUGGAGCGAGAGAGGCUGGCAACUUUGCUAUUACAGGAGUUGGGGAUACAAAUAGAAGAUGCUGAGACGGAGGCCAGAAAGGACAGUGACAUAGAUGUCAAACAACAGUGACAGUGACCUGGACAGCAUUGAUGGAGGACAAGAGGAAGAGGAGGCAGAGGACAGAGGAGGACAAGAGGAAGAGGAGGCAGAGAGAGGAGGACAGGAGGCAGAGGACGGAGGAGGACAAGAGGAAGAGGAGGCAGAGAGAGGAGGACAGGAGGCAGAGGACAAGAGGAAGAGGAGGCAGAGAGAGGAGGACAAGAGGCAGAGGACGGA
Engraulis encrasicolus (European anchovy) is the source of this 458-nucleotide long non-coding RNA. RefSeq lists it as uncharacterized. The transcript has 3 exons. NCBI's taxonomy places the organism in Eukaryota, Metazoa, Chordata, Actinopteri, Clupeiformes, Engraulidae. The record is from RefSeq and is a predicted model, not a curated record.